RNAcentral lists this ribosomal RNA (325 nucleotides) under uncultured bacterium. Its description in RNAcentral is "bacterial SSU rRNA". It matches the Rfam family "Bacterial small subunit ribosomal RNA", at positions 28 to 334 of the family's 1533-position model. The record is from RNAcentral.
GAUGAACGCUGGCGGCGUGCUUAACACAUGCAAGUCGAACGAGAAUCAACGGAUUGAGGAUUCGUCCAAAUGAAGUUGAGGAAAGUGGCGGACGGGUGAGUAACGCGUGAGGAACCUGCCUCGGAGUGGGGAAUAACAGUUGGAAACGACUGCUAAUACCGCAUAAGCCCACAGCUCGGCAUCGAGCAGAGGGAAAAGGAGUGAUCCGCUUUGAGAUGGCCUCGCGUCCGAUUAGCUGGUUGGUGAGGUAACGGCCCACCAAGGCGACGAUCGGUAGCCGGACUGAGAGGUUGAACGGCCACAUUGGGACUGAGACACGGCCCAG